AUGAAUCCAUAUUUUGUUCAAUUUGGUUGUUUAAUAUUUGUUCGAACUUUUCGACAGAAAUAAAUUCCAAAUGAAAAUAAAUCUUGUAUCGGUUUCGGUUAAGAUGACAGCUGAAAAUUUAAUUACUCUUAGUGCAUAGACGUUGGUAAAAUAUCCGAAAAAAUCCAGGGCUGUAAAUUUAAUCUUAAACUAAAAACAAACCAAUGUUUUUGGUCCUAUGGAAUGCCAAAAAUUAGGAAAGCCGUAGCAAAUAUUAUAUAAUUUCAACAGAAAACAAUGUGCAGCAAAAAUAUACCAAAAAUCGUAAUGAGAACCAUUUAAAAUAUAAAGCAUACUCUUAUCAACAUCAUCAUCAUCAUCUGAAUUUACAAAAACUACACUAAAAAAGUGAACCAAUGUGUAUUUCCAGAAGGCAAAGAACCGCGUUUUUUUUUUCAUUUUCUUCAACCAAAAGUUAAUGGCUAUAGGUCAAGCGCACAUUCCUUUUAGUGCGAGUAAUACAUUUUUAAAGUGAAUCUUUUGGCAGAAGAGAGAAGAUUCUUGUUGAUGUAAA
Eupeodes corollae is the source of this 553-nucleotide long non-coding RNA. RefSeq lists it as uncharacterized. The record is from RefSeq and is a predicted model, not a curated record. NCBI's taxonomy places the organism in Eukaryota, Metazoa, Arthropoda, Insecta, Diptera, Syrphidae. The transcript is spliced from 3 exons.